AUUCUCAGUUCGGAUCGCAGGCUGCAACCCGCCUGCGUGAAGUUGGAAUCGCUAGUAAUCGCGGAUCAGCAUGUCGCGGUGAAUACGUUCCCGGGCCUUGUACACACCGCCCGUCACACCAUGAGAGUCGGGAACACCCGAAGUCCGUAGUCUAACCGCAAGGGGGACGCGGCCGAAGGUGGGUUCGAUAAUUGGGGUGAAGUCGUAACAAGGUAAC
This 217-nucleotide ribosomal RNA is filed under the name uncultured bacterium. Its description in RNAcentral is "partial 16S ribosomal RNA". It matches the Rfam family "Bacterial small subunit ribosomal RNA", at positions 1284 to 1500 of the family's 1533-position model. The record is from RNAcentral.